GUAAAACUCGUUCUCGCAAACCUCUCCAGCUGGUGGUUGGUACUCUGACACCGAGCUCGGUCUUCCUGUCCUGGGGUUUCCUCAUCAACCCACACCAUGACUGGACAUUGCCAAGUCACUGUCCCAAUGACAGAUUUUAUACAAUUCGUUAUCGAGAAAAGGAUAAAGAAAAGAAGUGGAUUUUUCAAAUCUGUCCAGCCACUGAAACAAUUGUGGAAAAUCUAAAGCCAAACACGGUUUAUGAAUUUGGAGUGAAAGACAAUGUGGAAGGUGGAAUUUGGAGUAAGAUUUUCAAUCACAAGACUGUUGUUGGAAGUAAAAAAGUAAAUGGGAAAAUCCAAAGUACCUAUGACCAAGACCACACAGUGGUAUGUAACAGUUUAUUUUCAAGAAUGUUUUUUUAAAAAAAUUAUAUCUGCAUUGUU
Rhinopithecus roxellana (golden snub-nosed monkey) is the source of this 425-nucleotide long non-coding RNA. RefSeq lists it as uncharacterized. The transcript is spliced from 3 exons. The record is from RefSeq and is a predicted model, not a curated record. Lineage: Eukaryota; Metazoa; Chordata; Mammalia; Primates; Cercopithecidae.